RNAcentral lists this ribosomal RNA (178 nucleotides) under Henriettella tuberculosa. RNAcentral describes it as "5.8S ribosomal RNA". The stretch from base 25 to 178 matches the Rfam family "5.8S ribosomal RNA". From Rfam's summary of the family: 5.8S ribosomal RNA (5.8S rRNA) is a component of the large subunit of the eukaryotic ribosome. It is transcribed by RNA polymerase I as part of the 45S precursor that also contains 18S and 28S rRNA. The record is from RNAcentral. Lineage: Eukaryota; Viridiplantae; Streptophyta; Magnoliopsida; Myrtales; Melastomataceae.
CGCGGUCUCUACUCAAGUCUAAAUGACUCUCGGCAACGGAUAUCUCGGCUCUUGCAUCGAUGAAGAACGUAGCGAAAUGCGAUACUUGGUGUGAAUUGCAGAAUCCCGCGAACCAUCAAUUCUUUGAACGCAAGUUGCGCCCGAAGCCAAUCGGCCGAGGGCACGCCUGCCUGGGCGU